Molecule: unclassified non-coding RNA, 340 nt
Filed under: uncultured fungus
Lineage: Eukaryota; Fungi
Description: sequence contains ITS1
Rfam family: 5.8S ribosomal RNA (bases 1-100)
Source: RNAcentral
GAAGUGCGACAAGUGUCAUGACUUGCAGAUUCCCGAGAGCUGACAAAUUUCUGAAUGCAAAUGGCGGCUGUCAAAAACGGCCAUGUAUGGCAGAGUGUAGUUGUUCAUACUAAUCAUCCCCUUCUCAUCAUACGUCUGGUGAUUAGGCUAGGGAUCUGCGCUUACGACUCUUUGCGUGAGUGUGAAAAAUCGAGCCCUCGUCAAGAGAGAGUCUGACUCUCUCUUGAUGGGGUGACUUCGGACUUUUCUCAGUCUUCGGGCUGAGAGACCACCUGAAGUUGCUAGCGCUCAAUACUUUAGGAAUCUACCUCUGCCAUGCAGGAUAACCCGCUGAACUUAA